GCUGGGCAUGGUGGCACAUGCCUGUAAUCCCAGUGACCGGGGAGGCUGAGGCAGGAGGAUCAUAAGUUCAAGACCAGCCUCAGCAACCAAGUGAGGCCCUAAGCAAUUUAGUGAAACCCUGCCUCAA
Molecule: small RNA, 127 nt
Filed under: Marmota monax (woodchuck)
Lineage: Eukaryota; Metazoa; Chordata; Mammalia; Rodentia; Sciuridae
Source: RNAcentral